CCCUUAGAUGUUCUGGGCCGCACGCGCGCUACACUGAUGCAUUCAACGAGCCUAUCCUUGACCGACAGGUCCGGGUAAUCUUUGAAUCUGCAUCGUGACGGGGAUAGAUUAUUGCAAUUAUUAAUCUUCAACGAGGAAUGCCUAGUAGGCGCAAGUCAUCAGCUUGCGUCGAUUACGUCCCUGCCCUUUGUACACACCGCCCGUCGCUCCUACCGAUUGGAUGGUUUAGUGAGGCCCUCGGAUCGGCCCCGCCGGGGUCGGCCCACGGCCCUGGCGGAGCGCUGAGAAGACGGUCGAACUUGACUAUCUAGAGGAAGUAAAAGUCGUAACA
Molecule: ribosomal RNA, 331 nt
Filed under: uncultured eukaryote
Lineage: Eukaryota
Description: partial 18S ribosomal RNA
Rfam family: Eukaryotic small subunit ribosomal RNA
Source: RNAcentral